This 447-nucleotide ribosomal RNA is filed under the name uncultured bacterium. RNAcentral's name for it is "bacterial SSU rRNA". It matches the Rfam family "Bacterial small subunit ribosomal RNA", at positions 329 to 793 of the family's 1533-position model. The record is from RNAcentral.
UGCCAGACUCCUACGGGAGGCAGCAGUGGGGAAUAUUGCACAAUGGGGGAAACCCUGAUGCAGCAACGCCGCGUGAGUGAAGAAGUAUUUCGGUAUGUAAAGCUCUAUCAGCAGGGAAGAAGAUGACGGUACCUGAGUAAGAAGCCCCGGCUAACUACGUGCCAGCAGCCGCGGUAAUACGUAGGGGGCAAGCGUUAUCCGGAUUUACUGGGUGUAGAGGGAGCGUAGACGGUGAGACAAGUCUGAAGUGAAAGCCCGGGGCUCAACCCCGGGACUGCUUUGGAAACUGCCUGACUGGAGUGCUGGAGAGGCAAGCGGAAUUCCUAGUGUAGCGGUGAAAUGCGUAGAUAUUAGGAAGAACACCAGUGGCGAAGGCGGCUUGCUGGACAGUAACUGACGUUGAGGCUCGAAAGCGUGGGGAGCAAACAGGAUUAGAUACCCCGGUAC